This 497-nucleotide ribosomal RNA is filed under the name uncultured bacterium. RNAcentral's name for it is "partial 16S ribosomal RNA". It matches the Rfam family "Bacterial small subunit ribosomal RNA", at positions 28 to 507 of the family's 1533-position model. The record is from RNAcentral.
GAUGAACGCUGGCGGCGUGCCUAAUACAUGCAAGUCGAGCGAACGGACGAGAAGCUUGCUUCUCUGAUGUUAGCGGCGGACGGGUGAGUAACACGUGGAUAACCUACCUAUAAGACUGGGAUAACUUCGGGAAACCGGAGCUAAUACCGGAUAAUAUUUUGAACCGCAUGGUUCAAAAGUGAAAGACGGUCUUGCUGUCACUUAUAGAUGGAUCCGCGCUGCAUUAGCUAGUUGGUAAGGUAACGGCUUACCAAGGCAACGAUGCAUAGCCGACCUGAGAGGGUGAUCGGCCACACUGGAACUGAGACGCGGUCCAGACUCCUACGGGAGGCAGCAGUAGGGAAUCGUCCGCAAUGGGCGAAAGCCUGACGGAGCAACGCCGCGUGAGUGAUGAAGGUCUUCGGAUCGUAAAACUCUGUUAUUAGGGAAGAACAUAUGUGUAAGUAACUGUGCACAUCUUGACGGUACCUAAUCAGAAAGCCACGGCUAACUACGUG